RNAcentral lists this transfer RNA (93 nucleotides) under Micromonospora fulviviridis. RNAcentral describes it as "tRNA-Pro". Lineage: Bacteria; Bacillati; Actinomycetota; Actinomycetes; Micromonosporales; Micromonosporaceae. The record is from RNAcentral.
GCGGUCGCUGGUGAGGCAGAGCGCCUGGACGAUCGGCACGUCCAGGGCGGCGAGCGCGCCGACGUCCCAGGCGUCCUCGUCGCCGCCACCGGA